RNAcentral lists this ribosomal RNA (375 nucleotides) under uncultured bacterium. Its description in RNAcentral is "bacterial SSU rRNA". It matches the Rfam family "Bacterial small subunit ribosomal RNA", at positions 430 to 793 of the family's 1533-position model. The record is from RNAcentral.
GUACUUUCAGUCGUGAGGAAGGCGGCGUCGUUAAUAGCGGCGUUGUUUGACGUUAGCGACAGAAGAAGCACCGGCUAACUCCGUGCCAGCAGCCGCGGUAAUACGGAGGGUGCGAGCGUUAAUCGGAAUUACUGGGACGUAAAAGCGCAUGCAGGUGGUUUGUUAAGUCAGAUGUGAAAAGCCCGGGCUCAACCUCGGAAAUUGCAUUUGAAAACUGGCAGACUAGAGUACUGUAGAGGGGGUAGAAUUUCAGGUGUAGCGGUGAAAAUGCGUAGAGAUCUGAAGGAAUACCGGUGGCGAAGGCGGCCCCCUGGACAGAUACUGACACUCAGAUGCGAAAGCGUGGGGAGCAAACAGGAUUAGAUACCCUGGUAG